ACAAUAACUCAAUUUUCUCCCUGUUUUAGGGGGUAAGCUUCUGUUCGAGAUGAAUCGGAUUCUAAGACCCAGUGGAUACUUUAUUAUGUUGACUAAACAUGACAGCAUUGAAGAAGAAAAAGCCAUGACUUCAUUGACAGCAUCUAUUUGUUGGAAUGUUCUGCCACAUAAAAGUGACGACAUUGGUGAAGUUGGAGUUAAAAUAUAUC
Arachis ipaensis is the source of this 209-nucleotide non-coding RNA. The record is from RefSeq and is a predicted model, not a curated record. NCBI's taxonomy places the organism in Eukaryota, Viridiplantae, Streptophyta, Magnoliopsida, Fabales, Fabaceae.